Molecule: ribosomal RNA, 840 nt
Filed under: uncultured eukaryote
Lineage: Eukaryota
Description: SSU rRNA
Rfam family: Eukaryotic small subunit ribosomal RNA
Source: RNAcentral
CGGUGUUCAACUGGCGUGCCCGCGGGACGUCCUGCCGGUGAGCUCAGCCCGCGAGGGCGGCUCAACUUGAAAUCCCAUCGCGGUGCUCUUCAUUGAGUGUCGAGGUGGGCCGGCGCGAUAACUUUUGAACAAAUUAUAGUGCUUAAAGCAGGCGAAAAUUUUGCCUGAAUACUGUGUAUAUGGAAUAAUGGAAUAGGACCUCGGUUCUAUUUUGUUGGUUUUCGGAACCCCCGAGGUAAUGAUUUAUAGGAACGGAUGGGGGCAUUCUUAUUGCGACGUGAGAGGUGAAAUUCUUGUAUCGUCGCAAGACGGACUAAAGCGAAAGCAUUUGCCAAAAACGCUUUCAUUGAUCAAGAACGAAAGUUAGAGGUUCGAAGGCGAUCAGAUACCGCCCUAGUUCUAACCAUAAACUAUGCCAGCUAGCGAUCCGCCGACGUCCCUCUGAUGACUCGGCGGGCAGCUUCCGGGAAACCAAAGCUUUUGGGUUCCGGGGGAAGUAUGGUUGCAAAGCUGAAACUUAAAGGAAUUGACGGAAGGGCACCACCAGGAGUGGAGCCUGCGGCUUAAUUUGACUCAACACGGGAAACCUCCCCAGGCCCAGACACUGGAAGGAUUGACAGAUUGAGAGCUCUUUCUUGAUUCAGUGGGUGGUGGUGCAUGGCCGUUUUUAGUCGGUGGAGCGAUUUGUCAGGUUAAUUCCGAUAACGGACGAGACUCUGACCUGAUAACUAGACGCACUUGCGGCAUCUCAAAGGUCCGCCGGCGGCUGGCUUUGCGCCCGUCGUCGCGCGCGAUUUUUACUGCCGGCGUACAAUAAAUUCUUCUUAGAGGGACAAGUGG